CAAGUCGAGCGGCAGCGCGGGGCAACCUGGCGGCGAGCGGCGAACGGGUGAGUAAUGCAUCGGAACAUGUCCAUGUCGUGGGGGAUAGCCCGGCGAAAGCCGGAUUAAUACCGCAUACGCCCGAGAGGGGAAAGUGGGGGACCGCAAGGCCUCACGCGAUUGGGUUGGCCGAUGUCCGAUUAGCUAGUUGGUGGGGUAAAGGCUUACCAAGGCGAUGAUCGGUAGCUGGUCUGAGAGGAUGAUCAGCCACACUGGGACUGAGACACGGCCCAGACUCCUACGGGAGGCAGCAGUGGGGAAUUUUGGACAAUGGGGGCAACCCUGAUCCAGCCAUUCCGCGUGAGUGAAGAAGGCCUUCGGGUUGUAAAGCUCUUUUGUCCGGAACGAAACGGUUACGGUGAACACCCGUGACUACUGACGGUACCGGAAGAAUAAGCACCGGCUAACUACGUGCCAGCAGCCGCGGUAAUACGUAGGGUGCGAGCGUUAAUCGGAAUUACUGGGCGUAAAGCGUGCGCAGGCGGUUUUGUAAGCCAGAUGUGAAAUCCCCGGGCUCAACCUGGGAAUGGCAUUUGGGACUGCAAGGCUGGAGUGCGGCAGAGGAGACUGGAAUUCCUGGUGUAGCAGUGAAAUGCGUAGAUAUCAGGAGGAAUACCGAUGGCGAAGGCAGGUCUCUGGGCUGACACUGACGCUCAUGCACGAAAGCGUGGGGAGCAAACAGGAUUAGAUACCCUGGUAGUCCACGCCCUAAACGAUGUCGACUGGUUGUUGGGGGUUUGACACUCUCAGUAACGAAGCUAACGCGUGAAGUCGACCGCCUGGGGAGUACGGCCGCAAGGUUAAAACUCAAAGGAAUUGACGGGGACCCGCACAAGCGGUGGAUUAUGUGGAUUAAUUCGAUGCAACGCGAAAAACCUUACCUACCCUUGACAUGUCC
Molecule: ribosomal RNA, 937 nt
Filed under: uncultured beta proteobacterium
Lineage: Bacteria; Pseudomonadati; Pseudomonadota; Betaproteobacteria
Description: bacterial SSU rRNA
Rfam family: Bacterial small subunit ribosomal RNA
Source: RNAcentral